UGCCAGCCGCCGCGGUAAUACAUAGGGGUCAAGCGUUGUCCGGAUUUAUUGGGCGUAAAGCGAGCGUAGGCGGAUUUGUAAGUUGGAGGUGAAAUCCCAGAGCUUAACUCUGGAACUGCCUUCAAAACUACAUUUCUUAAGUUUGGUAGAGGAGAGUGGAAUUCCUAGUGUAGAGGUGAAAUUCGUAGAUAUUAGGAGGAACACCAGUGGCGAAGGCGACUCUCUGGGCCAAUACUGACGCUGAGGUUCGAAAGCGUGGGUAGCGAACAGGAUUAGAUA
This 279-nucleotide ribosomal RNA is filed under the name uncultured bacterium. RNAcentral describes it as "partial 16S ribosomal RNA". It matches the Rfam family "Bacterial small subunit ribosomal RNA", at positions 506 to 784 of the family's 1533-position model. The record is from RNAcentral.